This 677-nucleotide ribosomal RNA is filed under the name uncultured fungus. RNAcentral describes it as "eukaryotic LSU rRNA". The stretch from base 235 to 389 matches the Rfam family "5.8S ribosomal RNA". The record is from RNAcentral. Lineage: Eukaryota; Fungi.
GGAAGGAUCAUUAUCGAAAUCGAAAGCCUAGGAGAAAGGGGGGGAGGAUGCGGGGCUGUCGCUGGCCUCUUUGGCAUGUGCACGCGUCGGUCCCUCUCCCGCCUUCGAAGCUUUCAAGUUCUCAACACCUGUGUGCACCCGCUGUAGGUCCUUCGGGACCUAUGUCUUCUCUUCCGAACUCGCAUGUCUACAGAAUGUGUAUGCGUCGCGUUGGCGACUGCGAAACCUUUGUACAACUUUCAGCAAUGGAUCUCUUGGCUCUCGCAUCGAUGAAGAACGCAGCGAAUCGCGAUAAGUAAUGUGAAUUGCAGAUUUUCCGUGAAUCAUCGAAUCUUUGAACGCACCUUGCGCUCCUUGGUAUUCCGAGGAGCAUGCCUGUUUGAGUGUCAUCGAAAUAUCGGACCGAAUGACUUCGAUGCUGUCGGAGCUCGGUUUCGGAUGUUGGGAGUGGUGCGGGCGGCAACGUCGGCUCUCCUCAAAAGCAUUAGCUGUGGGCGCGAGCCUCGCAUGGCACGGCCGCUUUGACGUCGUAAUGAUCGUCGUGGGCCUGGAAGUGCGUGGGUUGACGUGUCUCCAUGCUUCGAAACCUUCUGCGAGUCCGUCCGUCGUCCGGACGGUCGCACGUAUCGAUGCUUGACCUCAAAUCAGGUAGGACUACCCGCUGAACUUAAGCAUAU